GACACAUUGACAAGUGUCAGAUGACAGAUGACAGAUGACAGAAGUCGCACAUAAACUAUCGACGAGCAAAAAUCAAUGGAUGACGUCACAAAUAUCCUGCAUCGCACAUCUUAAGUUUGCAUGCAAAUUAACACAGAUAGAAAAUCCCAACGAACAACAGUUGGGCAGAAAGCCCGCCAGGCUGAUCACCUCGCCUGGUCGGAGGAUCCUCCUUUUCUUAGGGAACUUUACUCUCUGUUCCCUAAAGUGGUGACCCCCGACGUGAAUGAAACCAACCUUCACGGAGCAGAUCAGCACCGUCAUCCUUAUCGCCAUCUCCCUCACCCAUCACUUCUCCGCUGAGCGGUAAUCAAGUCGCAGCCAACCAGCAUCCGGCCUCAUCAGGGACCACCACACGCUACAUCGAAGAUAUGCAGCCUGGUUCUUCCCUACGGCCUCAUCGGCGUCUAGGCACAGCACUCUGCACACGGUCUGAGGACGUCUUCCUCCCGUCAAAGCAGACGCCAGCCACUACGCACCUACCCUCGCAGCAUCUAUUCCCCGACUCACCGUGGGACACUGCGAGCUUCACUACUCCGACUCACUGGAGUAUCACCCUGCACCGCUCACCCGACUCACUGGGCAUUCAGCGGCACAGUUCCGACUCACUGGAACUAAGGGACAUUCUACACUGGCUCUGGCACCGCUCAUCUCAAGCAUCGACAGCCGUCUCAACAGGAUCAACCUCCGGUCUUGGGGGGGAGUGAUGUGGCGACACUGACAAAUGACAGAUGACAGAAGUCGCACAUAGACUAUCGACGAGCAAAUCAAUGGAUGACGUCACAAAUAUCCUGCAUCGCACAUAUGAAGUUUGCGUGCGAAUUAACACGGAUAGAAAAUCUCAACGAACAACAGUUGGGCAGAAAGCCCGCCAGGCUGAUCACCUCGCCUGGUCGGAGGAUCCUCCUUUGCUUAGGGAACUUUACUCUCUGUUCCCUAAAGUAU
Molecule: long non-coding RNA, 984 nt
Organism: Spodoptera frugiperda (fall armyworm)
Lineage: Eukaryota; Metazoa; Arthropoda; Insecta; Lepidoptera; Noctuidae
Exons: 2
Source: RefSeq, a predicted model, not a curated record